Clostridium puniceum is the source of this 89-nucleotide regulatory RNA element. It matches the Rfam family "pan motif". NCBI's taxonomy places the organism in Bacteria, Bacillati, Bacillota, Clostridia, Eubacteriales, Clostridiaceae. The record is from Rfam.
UGGGUAGUAUCUUAAUAGAGAGUUACACCAAACUAUUAAGCAUUAAAACUUAUAAUACAACUCAUAUCUAUAAUGAAUGAGAUUGAAAU